ACGUGAUCUGAGUUCAGACCGGAGUAAUCCAGGUCAGUUUCUAUCUAUAAAGGGGUUUUUUCUAGUACGAAAGGACCGAAAAAGCAUGGCCAAUACUUCAUGCAAGCCAUAAUUAUCAACUUAUGAUAAAAUCUUAAUAAGUAAUUAAACCAACAAUGAGCUCAAAAAAAGGGCA
RNAcentral lists this ribosomal RNA (175 nucleotides) under Osteocephalus deridens. Its description in RNAcentral is "partial 16S ribosomal RNA". Lineage: Eukaryota; Metazoa; Chordata; Amphibia; Anura; Hylidae. The record is from RNAcentral.